This 301-nucleotide ribosomal RNA is filed under the name uncultured bacterium. RNAcentral describes it as "partial 16S ribosomal RNA". It matches the Rfam family "Bacterial small subunit ribosomal RNA", at positions 509 to 807 of the family's 1533-position model. The record is from RNAcentral.
CAGUCGCCGCGGGAAUACAGAGGGUGCAAGCGUUAAUCGGAAUUACUGGGCGUAAAGCGCGCGUAGGUGGUUUGUUAAGUUGGAUGUGAAAGCCCCGGGCUCAACCUGGGAACUGCAUCCAAAACUGGCAAGCUAGAGUACGGUAGAGGGUGGUGGAAUUUCCUGUGUAGCGGUGAAAUGCGUAGAUAUAGGAAGGAACACCAGUGGCGAAGGCGACCACCUGGACUGAUACUGACACUGAGGUGCGAAAGCGUGGGGAGCAAACAGGAUUAGAUACCCGUGUAGUCCCUGUCUCUUAUAC